RNAcentral lists this long non-coding RNA (7151 nucleotides) under Hordeum vulgare. RNAcentral's name for it is "long non-coding RNA (HVUL_LNC011314)". The record is from RNAcentral. Lineage: Eukaryota; Viridiplantae; Streptophyta; Magnoliopsida; Poales; Poaceae.
UCGCCACCGUGGCCGUGCUGUGCCUGCUCAUCGCCGGCCGUGCGGACGGCCAGGACGAGUACAUCCCUGCUGCCGCGGGGAGCCAAGAGGUGGAGCCGCAGCCGGGGCUGCUGCCGGGGGCCUCCCUGGCCAAGGCGUUCACAGGCGGCUACUUCCCGCAGCAGCCCAAGGCCGAGCCAGAGCCGGAGCAGACGACCACGGAACCGGAGCCGGAGCCGGAGCAGACGACCAGGGAACCGGAGCCGGUCACGCCCACGCGCGACCAGGGCGAUUUCUACCGCACCGGCGUGACCCCGACCGCGCCGGAGCCGCCGGCGAUGCUAACCUCCCCGGAGACGUGGGAGAAGCCAUGGACGCCAUUUGUACCGCAGACGUCGGCGUUUGUUCCCAAGACGCCGGCGUAUGUGCCCAAGACGCCAUAAUUACCAUGGGCCUUAAAAUUAUUCCCUCCAUCAUGGUUUAAAAGCGCGUGUUUGAAAAUUCUCUCGAACCUAUGUGGUUAUUGAUUGACUGUGAGAUGGACAGAAAAAUAGCAUUCACAAUCGCAUGCAUAUAAAAGUAGUACUACAACGGAAUACUAAUUAGCUGCUAAGAGUAAAUGCAAUGCGCCUUAAACCUUGUUUAUUAUGGAAAUGAACGUAAAUUUAACCGUGCCUUCUAAACUGUGACGAAGGAAAUACAGACGAUGUAUCGAGGCUGAUGGGUCUUUUAAACCCGAACGAAAAUAGUAUUUAAUAGGUCUAAUCAUAGAAUAUACAUGUGCAUCAUCAUCACAUCAGUACCAAUAGUAACAUAAAACAUGACCUACAAAGAUAGACGAUCAUGAGGCAACACGAUAGAGAGAUGGAACUACUCCUCCGGUUUAGCAACAAUGAAACCGAGAAAGAUAAAUCUCCCAUCACGUCCAUGGCGGAGCACGAAGAUCAUCAUGUCUUCAAUAUCUAUGUCGUACAUACGACUACUUUGCUCCACCCAUUAAGAACUAUGCUUCCAUCUCCUUGUCACGAAUACGAGUAUGAAGUCGAACCGAGAUGUUAACACUAGGAUGGAACACAAUGGUUAUAGCUCUUCAUUUGCACUCAUCUCCUUAGGCACAGUAUUCACUCUGUAAUAAGCUAUCAAAAUAUUUGUAAAUAAGGUCACUUAAAUAUAGCAUCCGGAUGAAAUGUGAUUAUUUAAAUCUAGCUGUAAAUAUGGUUACUUAAAAUUAAUUGCUGGAUAUUUGCCAGAAUCAUUACACGGAUGAGUUAUUGUAUAUCACUAGCAAAAAGACCCGUGCGUUGCAACGGGAGAAAAAAAUCACCAUCUUCAAUGGCAAUGACCAUAUUAUGUUCAUAUCUCAUCGCAUGAUUUCAAAAACUUGUUCACAAAUGUAAGAAAAUAUUUCUUUUAUUUUAUUUUAUUCACAAUUCACAAGUUGAAACAAUGUUCAUAUUUUAAAAAAAAUAUCAUGGUUAUCAAAAAACUUGGUAACUCAAAGAAUUAUUCUGAAUUUCAAGAAACAUUUUAAAAAAUAUAGUAUAAUAUUCCGAUCCAUCAUCACAAUUAAUUCUUCAAAAUUCACUCAGGUAUAUAAUCUGAAAGACUCAGAAGCAUUACUAUUGAACGCCAUACAUUCGAUCUUUCGUGAACAUUUUUACAAAUUUGGGAAUAUUUUUAAAAUCAAGAACAUUCUUUACUAUUUAUAAACAUUUUUUUAAAAUUACAAAUAAUAUUUUAUAUUACAAACUGUUUUCAAGUAUUUUCUUGGGAAUUGGCGAAUAAUUCAUUUUUUGAAUUAUCCAACAUUUUUUUAAUUGCAUUAAAGAAAUUGCUAAAAAUGAUGGACUUUUUUUAUUCACGAAUGUUUUCUCCAAAAUUACGAAUUUUUUAAUAUGCAAUUUUUUUUACAAAAAUCCUGAACAAUUUUUUGAAUUCGCAAACAUUUUAUAUUUUAUCAAACAUUUAUGUAAAUAUUUAUUUUUUAAUUUCGAAAGUUUUUGUUGAUUUAUUUGAAAUAUAAAAAAUAAAAAGUAACAGAUAAAUAUUAAUUAAAAAACUAAAAAAAAGGCACCUGCCCAUGGGCUGGCCCAAAUGGGCGUGGUGCUUAUUUUCCAACGAGCAGAGCGUAGUAUAGCUGGUCCCUAUGCUUGGGCCGGCCCAUGCGAGAAUUACCUGCAAAACGUUUUUUAUAACUUAUAGGUGGCAUUGAUGGGUAAUUUUAAAGAAUUUUAGAGGCAAUUUUAAUAACGUACCACAGAAGCAAUAGGUGCUUUAUUAAUAGGGAUAGAUUGCUCAAACGUACUUAGAGGUGACGAUUAGGUUUUCCACCUAGUUCGAGGGAUAUCUCCACACGUACUUCGAACUGAUAUAUUUUGACAACUUCUUUCCAAAUACGUCAUGUGAAAAAUGUCUUAUCUUUUUAGUUCUAGACCCUGCAUACUCGAAAACAAAAGCUCUCUCAUGUCUUAGAUCUAUUUAUAACUUUACUCAUAUGCACUAUAACCCGUAGCAAUUACCUUUGUUUACACGUAUGAGGAAUUAGCAUGUGUGUUUGUCCACGUUCUUCUUAUCUUCUUCCUUUGGCAGUUAGGCCAUCCAUUAUUGUUGGCAAUAACAUGGUUUAGGACAUCCAUUUCAAUGUGGUUGGUGUUAGACAUUGUAUUACGUAUACACAUGGUAUAUGUAUAAACCAUGUGUAUUACGAUUGUAGGCAUGCGUGUGUGGUUUAAACUAGGGAUAUCUUGUUAGGGUCUAUCUCUUGUGUUUAACCUUGUAGAUAGAGAUAGAUCCUAACUCCUUGUUGUAAUCUCCUAGGUCUUGUGCCUUUAUUAACACGCACGUGUCCCUGCUAAACGCAUACGCUUCAGGCCUUUCUAUUCUCACAUGGUAUCAGAGCCUAUCUCGUUGCAAAACGGUUUGAACAAUGUUAUGGUCUUGAUUAUGAGGAUACUUUAAAUCCCGUUGUUAAAGCCGCCACCAUCAGAUUGGUUCUGUCUAUAGCUGUCUCUAGGAAUUGGUGUAUGCGACAGUUGGACGUUAAGAACGCGUUUUUUGCAUGGUGUUCUGGAAGAGAAUGUUUUUAUGCGACAGCCACCUGGGUAUACAGAUUCAAGGUUUCCGCACUUGGUCUGUAAACUGGAUAAAGCUCUGUAUGGUCUCAAACAGGCUCCCCGUGCAUGGUACUCUCGCUUGUCUUUCAAGCUUCAGUCUCUUGGUUUUCAACCCUCCAAGAGUGAUACCUCACUGUUUUUUUAUUCUCGGAGAGGGGUGACUAUCUUUAUGCUCAUAUAUGUGGAUGACAUUAUUGUUACUAGUUCCUCUGUACAAGCAGUUGAAGCCCUCCUCAGUGAUCUUCGCAUGGACUUUGCACUCAAAGAUCUUGGAUCCCUCCAUUAUUUUCUUGGUAUUGAGGUAACUUCUACUGAUAAUGGUAUUGCUUUAUCUCAAGGGAAAUAUUUGCUUGAUUUGCUUCAACGAGUCAAUAUGAAUGGUUGCAAACCUGUCAGUACUCCUUUGUCUACUUCUGAGAAGUUGUCUUUGUUUGAUGGACAUCCUCUUGGAGAUGGAGAUUCUACCAACUAUCGCAGUGUUGUUGGUGCUUUGCAAUACUUAACUCUUACUAGACCAGAUAUUUGUUGUUCGGUCAACAAGGUAUGUCAAUUCUUGCAUGCUCCAACCUCUGUUCACUGGACGGCAGUCAAACGUGUACUUCGUUAUUUACAAGGCACUAUCACCCAUGGUCUGCGUAUAUCUAAGUCUCAUUCCAUGUUAGUCAGCGCAUUCUCUGAUGCAGAUUGGGCUGGUUGCCCUGAUGACAGAAAGUCUACUGGUGGUUUUGCUGUUUUUGUUGGUAGUAAUCUUGUGUCUUGGACUGCACGAAAGCAACCUACAGUUUCUCGCUCCAGCACAGAGGCUGAGUACAAAGCACUUGCUAAUGCUACUGCCGAGGUAAUAUGGGUAUAGAACCUUUUGACUGAGCUGGGUAUUCCUCAUCCUAAGUCUUUCUCCCUAUGGUGUGAUAAUUUAGGAGCUACAUACUUAUCUGCAAAUCCUAUUUUUCAUGCACGGACAAAGCAUAUUGAAAUUGAUUAUCACUUUGUCCGUGAGAGAGUGGCUCAGAAACUGCUACACAUACGGUUUAUUCCCACUGGUGAUCAAUUGGCUGAUGGCUUUACUAAACCUCUUACUCUUCGCCAGAUGGAAGUUUUUCGUCGCAAUCUCAACUUGGACAAGUUGUGAUUGAGGGGGAGUGUUAGACAUUGUAUUACGUAUACACAUGGUAUAUGUAUAAACCAUGUGUAUUACGAUUGUAGGCAUGCGUGUGUGGUUUAAACUAGGGAUAUCUUGUUAGGGUCUACCUCUUGUGUUUAACCUUGUAGAUAGAGAUAGAUCCUAACUCCUUGUUGUAAUCUUCUAGGUCUUGUGCCUUUAUUAACACGCACGCGUCCCUGCUAAACGCAUACACUUCAAGCCUUUCUAUUCUCACAGUUGGUUCGAAAAAUAGCAGUGGCCACCAAUCCAUGCCGAAAUUAGCAUCUCUAUCCCGGUACAUAAACACGUACGCGCCAGCAUGCAAAAAAUUCUAAACCACCCACUUCCACGUUAACCGACCAUGCACGCCGAUCAGCUAGUACCGGCGGUCGUCGCCGUCGUGGCCGUGUUGUGCCUGCUCAUCGCCGGCCGCGCGGAUGGCCAGGACGAGUACGUCCCUGCUACCGCGGGGAGCCAAGAGGUGGAGCCGCAGCCGGGGCUGCUGCCGGGGGCCUCCCUGGCCAAGGCGUUCACAGGCGGCUACUUCCCGCAGCAGCCCAAGGCCGAGCCGGAGCCGGAGCAGACGACCACGGAACCGGAGCCGGAGCCGGAGCAGACGACCAGGGAACCGGAGCCGGUCACGCCCACGCGCGACCAGGGCGAUUUCUACCGCACCGGCGUGACCCCGACCGCGCCGGAGCCGCCGGCGAUGCUAACCUCCCCAGAGACGUGGGAGAAGCCGUGGACGCCAUUUGUACCCAAGACGUCGGCGAUUGUUCCCAAGACGCCGACGUAUGUGCCCGAGACGCCGGCGUUUGUGCCCAAGACGCCAUAAUUACCAUGGGCCUUAAAAUUAUUCCCUCCAUCAUGGUUUAAAAGCGCGUGUUUGAAAAUUCUUUCGAACCUAUGUGGUUAUUGAUUGACUGUGAGAUGAGCUGAAAAAUAGCAUUCACAAUCAAAUGCAUAUAAAAGUAGUACAACGAAAUACUAAUUAGCUGCUAAGAGUAAAUUCAAUGCGCCUUAAACCUUGUUUAUUGUGAAAAUGCACGUAAAUUUAACCGUGCCUUCUAAACUGUGACGAAGGAAAUAUAAACGAUGUAUCGAGGCUGACGGGUCUUUUAAACCCGAAAGGAAGUAGUAUUUAAUAGGUCUGAUCGUAGAACAUAUAUGUGCAUCAUCAUCACAUCAGAACCAAUAGUAACAUAAAACAUGACCUACAAAGAUGGACGAUCAUGAGGCAACACGAUAGAGAGACAGAACUACUCAUCCUCCGGUUUAGCAACAAUGAAACCGAGAAAGAGAAAUCUCCCAUCACGUCCAUGGUGGAGCACGAAGAUCAUCAUGUCUUCAAUAUCUAUGUCGUACAUACGACUACUUUGCUCCACCCAUUAAAACCAAUAUUUCCAUCUCCUUGUCACGAAUACGAGUAUGAAGUCGAACCGAGAUGUUAACACUAGGAUGGAGCACAAUGGUUAUAGCUCUUCAUUUGCACUCAUCUCCUUAGGCACAGUAAGUUGUGGGAGUAUCUGGUGAGAGAACACAAUUUGAACACUUUAAGGAAUCUAGAUAAUUGCCGGAGUAUCUGAAGAUAAUGAGUAUGUUGUCAAUAUUGGCCUUGUUCAAACAGUAUUGCGGGGGCAUGUAGGAAUGAUCUCUCGGUCCAGCAUUGUAACCAUUCACGAGCCUUCAAAUUUGAUCAACAAAGCCGAUGGCAAACCUCAUCUCUUCCUAGCUUACUCAUCUUCCGUCAUUAACCUCCAUAUUUUCUAUAAAGUGUUUUGUUACAGUAUUCACUCUGUAAUAAGCUAUCAAAAUAUUUGUAAAUAAGAUCACUUAAAUAUAGCAUCCGGAUGAAAUGUGAUUAUAUAAAUCUAGCUGUAAAUAUGGUUACUUAAAAUUAAUUGCUGGAUAUUUGCCAGAAUCAUUACACGGAUGAGUUAUUGUAUAUCAUUGCUCAAACGUAGACGAUUAGGUUUUCCACCUAGUCCGAGGGGCAUCUCUACACGUACUUCGAACUGAUAUAUUUUGACAAAUUCUUUCCAAAUACGUCAUGUGAAAAAUGUCUUAUCUUUUUAGUUCCUGACCCUGCAUACUUGAAAACAAAAGCUCUCUCCUGUCUUAGAUCUAUUUAUAACUUUACUCAUAUGCACUAUAACCCGUAGCAAUUACCUUUGUUUACACGUAUGAGGAAUUAGCGAAACACACGUUCUUCAGUUAGGUCAUCCAUUAUUGUUGGCAAUAACAUGGUUUAGGACAUCCAUUUCAAUGUGGUUGGUUCGAAAAAUAGCAGUGGCCAUCAAUCCAUGCCGAAAUUAGCAUCUCUCUCCCGGUACAUAAACAGCGUACGCACCAGCAUGCAAAAAAUUCUAAACCACCCACUUCCACGUUAACCGACCAUGCACGCCGAUCAGCUAGUACCGGCGGUCGUCGCCGCCGUGGCCGUGUUGUGCCUGCUCAUCGCCGGCCGCGCGGACGGCCAGGACGAGUACGUCCCUGCUGCCGCGGGGAGCGAAGAGGCGGUGGAGCCGCAGCCGGGGACCGCCGCAGCCGGCGGCGAGGAGUACGUCCCGCAGCCGGGGUUGCUGCCGGGGGCCUCCCUAGCCAAGGCGUUCACCGGCGGCUACUUCCCGCAGCAGCCCAAGGCCGAGCCGGAGCCGGAGCAGACGACCACGGAACCGGAGCCGGAGCCGGAGCAGACGACCAGGGAACCGGAGCCGAUCACGCCCACGCGCGACCAGGGCGAUUUCUACCGCACCGGCGUGACGCCGACCGCGCCUGAGCCGCCUGCGAUGCUAACCUCGCCGGAGACGUGGGAGAAGCCGUGGACGCCAUUUGUACCCAAGACGCCGUCGUAUGUGCCCCAGACGCCGGCGUUUGUUCCCAAGACGCCGUCGUAUGUGCCCCAGACGCCGGCGUAU